Molecule: ribosomal RNA, 495 nt
Filed under: uncultured bacterium
Lineage: Bacteria
Description: partial 16S ribosomal RNA
Rfam family: Bacterial small subunit ribosomal RNA
Source: RNAcentral
GACGAACGCUGGCGGCGUGCCUAAUACAUGCAAGUCGAACGCUGAAGGAGGAGCUUGCUUCUCUGGAUGAGUUGCGAACGGGUGAGUAACGCGUAGGUAACCUGCCUGGUAGCGGGGGAUAACUAUUGGAAACGAUAGCUAAUACCGCAUAAGAGUAGAUGUUGCAUGACAUUUGCUUAAAAGGUGCAAUUGCAUCACUACCAGAUGGACCUGCGUUGUAUUAGCUAGUUGGUGGGGUAACGGCUCACCAAGGCGACGAUACAUAGCCGACCUGAGAGGGGGAUCGGCCACACUGGGACUGAGACACGGCCCAGACUCCUACGGGAGGCAGCAGUAGGGAAUCUUCGGCAAUGGACGGAAGUCUGACCGAGCAACGCCGCGUGAGUGAAGAAGGGUUUCGGAUCGUAAAGCUCUGUUGUAAGAGAAGAACGAGUGUGAGAGUGGAAAGUUCACACUGUGACGGUAUCUUACCAGAAAGGGACGGCUAACUACGUG